RNAcentral lists this ribosomal RNA (274 nucleotides) under uncultured bacterium. Its description in RNAcentral is "partial 16S ribosomal RNA". It matches the Rfam family "Bacterial small subunit ribosomal RNA", at positions 523 to 796 of the family's 1533-position model. The record is from RNAcentral.
AUACGGAGGGUGCAAGCGUUACUCGGAAUCACUGGGCGUAAAGCGCGCGCAGGCGGUCUUUUAAGUUGGAUGUGAAAGCCUACGGCUCAACCGUAGAACUGCAUCCAAAACUAUUAGACUAGAGUGUGGGAGAGGAAGAUGGAAUUAGUUGUGUAGGGGUAAAAUCCGUAGAGAUAACCAGGAAUACCAAAAGCGAAGGCAAUCUUCUGGAACACUACUGACGCUGAGGCGCGAAAGCGUGGGGAGCAAACAGGAUUAGAAACCCUAGUAGUCC